CAGUAGCCGCGGGAAUACGUAGGUGGCAAGCGUUGUCCGGAAUUAUUGGGCGUAAAGGGCUCGCAGGCGGUUUCUUAAGUCUGAUGUGAAAGCCCCCGGCUCAACCGGGGAGGGUCAUUGGAAACUGGGAAACUUGAGUGCAGAAGAGGAGAGUGGAAUUCCACGUGUAGCGGUGAAAUGCGUAGAGAUGUGGAGGAACACCAGUGGCGAAGGCGACUCUCUGGUCUGUAACUGACGCUGAGGAGCGAAAGCGUGGGGAGCAAACAGGAUUAGAUACCCCUGUAGUCCCUGUCUCUUAUAC
RNAcentral lists this ribosomal RNA (301 nucleotides) under uncultured bacterium. Its description in RNAcentral is "partial 16S ribosomal RNA". It matches the Rfam family "Bacterial small subunit ribosomal RNA", at positions 509 to 807 of the family's 1533-position model. The record is from RNAcentral.